GACGAACGCUGGCGGCGUGCUUAACACAUGCAAGUCGAACGAUGAAGCCCAGCUUGCUGGGUGGAUUAGUGGCGAACGGGUGAGUAACACGUGAGUAACCUGCCCUUGACUCUGGGAUAAGCGCUGGAAACGGCGUCUAAUACCGGAUACGACCUGCCCCGGCAUCGGGUGCGGGUGGAAAGUUUUUCGGUCAAGGAUGGACUCGCGGCCUAUCAGCUAGUUGGUGAGGUAAUGGCUCACCAAGGCGACGACGGGUAGCCGGCCUGAGAGGGUGACCGGCCACACUGGGACUGAGACACGGCCCAGACUCCUACGGGAGGCAGCAGUGGGGAAUAUUGCACAAUGGGCGAAAGCCUGAUGCAGCAACGCCGCGUGGGGGAUGACGGCCUUCGGGUUGUAAACCUCUUUUAGUAGGGAAGAAGGGCUUCGGCUUGACGGUACCUGCAGAAAAAGCACCGGCUAACUACGUGCCAGCAGCCGCGGUAAUACGUAGGGUGCAAGCGUUGUCCGGAAUUAUUGGGCGUAAAGAGCUCGUAGGCGGUUUGUCGCGUCUGCUGUGAAAACCCGAGGCUCAACCUCGGGCCUGCAGUGGGUACGGGCAGACUAGAGUGCGGUAGGGGAGAAUGGAAUUCCUGGUGUAGCGGUGGAAUGCGCAGAUAUCAGGAGGAACACUGAUGGUGAAGGCAGUUCUCUGGGCCGUUACUGACGCUGAGGAGCGAAAGCGUGGGGAGCGAACAGGAUUAGAUACCCUGGUAGUCCACGCCGUAAACGUUGGGAACUAGAUGUGGGGACCUUUCCACGGUCUCCGUGUCGCAGCUAACGCAUUAAGUUCCCCGCCUGGGGAGUACGGCCGCAAGGCUAAAACUCAAAGGAAUUGACGGGGGCCCGCACAAGCGGCGGAGCAUGCGGAUUAAUUCGAUGCAACGCGAAGAACCUUACCAAGGCUUGACAUAUACCGGAAACUUCCAGAAAUGGUUGCCCCGCAAGGUCGGUAUACAGGUGGUGCAUGGUUGUCGUCAGCUCGUGUCGUGAGAUGUUGGGUUAAGUCCCGCAACGAGCGCAACCCUCGUUCUAUGUUGCCAGCACGUCAUGGUGGGAACUCAUAGGAGACUGCCGGGGUCAACUCGGAGGAAGGUGGGGAUGACGUCAAAUCAUCAUGCCCCUUAUGUCUUGGGCUUCACGCAUGCUACAAUGGCCGGUACAAAGGGCUGCGAUACCGUAAGGUGGAGCGAAUCCCAAAAAGCCGGUCUCAGUUCGGAUUGAGGUCUGCAACUCGACCUCAUGAAGUCGGAGUCGCUAGUAAUCGCAGAUCAGCAACGCUGCGGUGAAUACGUUCCCGGGCCU
Molecule: ribosomal RNA, 1344 nt
Filed under: uncultured bacterium
Lineage: Bacteria
Description: bacterial SSU rRNA
Rfam family: Bacterial small subunit ribosomal RNA
Source: RNAcentral